AGCCAACCGUCGCUUAAGAAGCCGACGGAUGCCAGAAGCAAGCUGACAAACGCUGUGAAAAGCAUUGACGGACGGCGGAUCGGACAUCUCUGCUAACAAAGCCAGAUGAUGCCGUGAAAGAAGCUGACCAACUACUGCAUGAGAAGCCGGUGGAUGUCAGACUCAAAGCCAGCGUUAAGAAACUGGACGACGUUAAUGGAUUUUGUGGAACAUCAAAAGAAACUUGGAUGUGGCUCUCUCU
Molecule: long non-coding RNA, 241 nt
Organism: Arabidopsis thaliana (thale cress)
Lineage: Eukaryota; Viridiplantae; Streptophyta; Magnoliopsida; Brassicales; Brassicaceae
Product: other RNA
Exons: 1
Source: RefSeq